CCGGAGCUAGUUUUAAUCUACUGUUCGUUAAUGAGGAUUCCUCCUCGUCAGAAUGUGUAACGAAUUGCUGUGUGUAGUCUUUACCCAUCCCCUGAGAUGGGUUUUUUUUUGC
This 112-nucleotide non-coding RNA is filed under the name Samsonia erythrinae. Its description in RNAcentral is "RprA RNA". It matches the Rfam family "RprA RNA". From Rfam's summary of the family: Translational regulation of the stationary phase sigma factor RpoS is mediated by the formation of a double-stranded RNA stem-loop structure in the upstream region of the rpoS messenger RNA, occluding the translation initiation site. Clones carrying rprA (RpoS regulator RNA A) increased the translation of RpoS. The rprA gene encodes a 106 nucleotide regulatory RNA. The record is from RNAcentral. Lineage: Bacteria; Pseudomonadati; Pseudomonadota; Gammaproteobacteria; Enterobacterales; Pectobacteriaceae.